GAUGAACGCUGGCGGUGUGCCUAAUACAUGCAAGUCGAGCGAACGGACGAGAAGCUUGCUUCUCUGAUGUUAGCGGCGGACGGGUGAGUAACACGUGGAUAACCUACCUAUAAGACUGGGAUAACUUCGGGAAACCGGAGCUAAUACCGGAUAAUAUUUUGAACCGCAUGGUUCAAAAGUGAAAGACGGUCUUGCUGUCACUUAUAGAUGGAUCCGCGCUGCAUUAGCUAGUUGGUAAGGUAACGGCUUACCAAGGCAACGAUGCAUAGCCGACCUGAGAGGGUGAUCGGCCACACUGGAACUGAGACACGGUCCAGACUCCUACGGGAGGCAGCAGUAGGGAAUCUUCCGCAAUGGGCGAAAGCCUGACGGAGCAACGCCGCGUGAGUGAUGAAGGUCUUCGGAUCGUAAAACUCUGUUAUUGGGGAAGAACAUAUGUGUAAGUAACUGUGCACAUCUUGACGGUACCUAAUCAGAAAGCCACGGCUAACUACGUG
Molecule: ribosomal RNA, 497 nt
Filed under: uncultured bacterium
Lineage: Bacteria
Description: partial 16S ribosomal RNA
Rfam family: Bacterial small subunit ribosomal RNA
Source: RNAcentral